GCCAGUUCAGAUUUUGAAGAGCACAAAUAUUGAUGGAUGGUCAGCGGUCAGUGAUGAAGAAGUUGAAUCUCUUCUUCCUGCUGCUGCUUAUGCUCUUGCAAAGAUCCAUAUGCAUCUAGUACACAGCGGGUUCUGUUACACUGCAAGGGGAGGGUUUUGCUACACGGAAGAU
Non-coding RNA from Camelina sativa (false flax), 172 nucleotides. The record is from RefSeq and is a predicted model, not a curated record. NCBI's taxonomy places the organism in Eukaryota, Viridiplantae, Streptophyta, Magnoliopsida, Brassicales, Brassicaceae.